GGCGACACCGGAACCAGGUGUUAGAGAAGCAGCUGUCGGUGCUGCGGGCAGAGGCUGAUCGAAGCCGAGAUCUGGAAGAGCAGAACCUCCAGCUACAAAAGACCCUGCAGCAACUGCGGCAGGACUGUGAAGAGGCUUCCAAGGCUAAGGUGGCAUCAGAGACAGAGGCCAUGGUACUGGGGCAGCGUCAGGCAACAGUGGAAACCACACUUCGGGAGACCCAAGAGGAAAAUGACGAAUUUCGAAGGCGCAUCCUCGGUCUGGAGCAGCAGCUGAAGGAGGCCCGAGGUCUGGUGGAAGGUGGGGAAGCGGUGGAGGCACGGCUUCGGGACAAAGUGCAUCGGCUGGAG
Molecule: long non-coding RNA, 350 nt
Filed under: Rattus norvegicus (Norway rat)
Lineage: Eukaryota; Metazoa; Chordata; Mammalia; Rodentia; Muridae
Description: long non-coding RNA NONRATT016647
Source: RNAcentral